Molecule: ribosomal RNA, 497 nt
Filed under: uncultured bacterium
Lineage: Bacteria
Description: partial 16S ribosomal RNA
Rfam family: Bacterial small subunit ribosomal RNA
Source: RNAcentral
GACGAACGCUGGCGGCGUGCCUAAUACAUGCAAGUAGAACGCUGAAACUUGGUGCUUGCACCGAGCGGAUGAGUUGCGAACGGGUGAGUAACGCGUAGGUAACCUGCCUGGUAGCGGGGGAUAACUAUUGGAAACGAUAGCUAAUACCGCAUAAGAGUAGAUGUUGCAUGACAUUUGCUUAAAAGGUGCAAUUGCACCACUACCAGAUGGACCUGCGUUGUAUUAGCUAGUUGGUGGGGUAACGGCUCACCAAGGCGACGAUACAUAGCCGACCUGAGAGGGUGAUCGGCCACACUGGGACUGAGACACGGCCCAGACUCCUACGGGAGGCAGCAGUAGGGAAUCUUCGGCAAUGGACGGAAGUCUGACCGAGCAACGCCGCGUGAGUGAAGAAGGGUUUCGGAUCGUAAAGCUCUGUUGUAAGAGAAGAACGAGUGUGAGAGUGGAAAGUUCACACUGUGACGGUAUCUUACCAGAAAGAGACGGCUAACUACGUG